Molecule: ribosomal RNA, 534 nt
Filed under: uncultured bacterium
Lineage: Bacteria
Description: bacterial SSU rRNA
Rfam family: Bacterial small subunit ribosomal RNA
Source: RNAcentral
CCUGGCCUUGACAUACUAAGAACUUUCCAGAGAUGGAUUGGUGCCCUUCGGGAACUUAGAUACAGGUGCUGCAUGGCUGUCGUCAGCUCGUGUCGUGAGAUGUUGGGUUAAGUCCCGCAACGAGCGCAACCCUUUUCUUAUUGCCAGCGGGUUAAGCCGGGAACUUUAAGGAUACUGCCAGUGACAAACUGGAGGAAGGCGGGACGACGUCAAGUCAUCAUGGCCCUUACGGCCAGGGCUACACACGUGCUACAAUGGUCGGUACAAAGGGUUGCUACCUCGCGAGAGGAUGCUAAUCUCAAAAAGCCGAUCGUAGUCCGGAUCGCAGUCUGCAACUCGACUGCGUGAAGUCGGAAUCGCUAGUAAUCGCGGAUCAGAAUGCCGCGGUGAAUACGUUCCCGGGCCUUGUACACACCGCCCGUCACACCAUGGGAGUUUGUUGCACCAGAAGUAGGUAGUCUAACCGCAAGGAGGACGCUUACCACGGUGUGGCCGAUGACUGGGGUGAAGUCGUAACAAGGUAAGCGUAGAUGA